UAACAAGUAUAUUAAGGGCACCAGGUGGAUGCCUUGGCGUCGGAAGGCGAAGAAAGACGCGGACGGCUGCGAUAAGCCUCGGGGAGGAGCCUAACAUCCUUUGAUCCGGGGAUUUCUGAAUGGGGCAACCCGGCGGGAUGAAACCCGUCAUUUGCGGAUGAAUCCAUAGUUCGCAAAGGCCAACGCAGGGAAGUGAAACAUCUCAGUACCUGCAGGAAAGGAAAUCAAACGAGACUCCCAAAGUAGCGGCGAGCGAAAUGGGAAUAGCCCAAACCCCGCACUCAGUUUAUGGCUUGUGUAUUGGCCGUGCCCGGCUGACACGAGAUAUAAAGUGAGUGCGGGGGGUUGUAGGACCGCUAUAAUUGAUCCGCGAGUAGGCAGGGGAACGAGCUGGGAAGCUCGGCCACAGAGGGUGAGAGCCCCGUACCUGAAACCGGAAGCGGCAAGAGCGGCACCUGAGUACCGCGGGGCACGUGAAACCCCGUGGGAAUCCGGGAGGACCAUCUUCCAAGGCUAAGUACUAACCGACGACCGAUAGCGAACCAGUACCGUAAGGGAAAGGCGAAAAGAACCCCGUUGAGGGGAGUGAAAUAGACCUGAAACCUGUUGCCUACAAGCUGUGGGAGUCCCGCACUCACUUUACCAUGUGAGGUGGCUAUGUAUUAUCCAUACAUUACCUUCAUUUGCUAAAGUGAGUGCGGGAUGACCGCGUGCCUUUUGCAUAAUGAGUCAGCGAGUUACUUUGUCCAGCGAGGUUAAGCGAGAAGCGGAGCCGUAGCGAAAGCGAGUCUGAACAGGGCGCGUAGUUGGGCGGAGUAGACCCGAAACCGAGUGAGCUAUCCAUGGGCAGGUUGAAAGACAGGUAAAACUGUGUGGAGGACCGAACCGUCAACGGCUGAAAACGUUCCGGAUGACCUGUGGAUAGGGGUGAAAGGCCAAUCAAACUCGGUGAUAGCUGGUUCUCCCCGAAAUAUAUUGAGGUAUAGCCUCGAGGAUUGUCUUGCGCAGGUAAAGCACUGAAAGAGCUAGGGGUCCCACCAGAUUACCAAACUCUAUCAAACUCAGAAUGGCGUUAAGAUUUACCUCGGGAGUCAGACUGCGGGUGCGAAGAUUCGUAGUCGAGAGGGAAACAGCCCAGAUCUACAGCUAAGGCCUCCAAAUCCAUACUCAGUGUGAAAGGUGGUGGAGUUGCACAGACAGCCAGGAAGUUGGCUUAGAAGCAGCCAUCUUUUAAAGAAAGCGUAAUAGCUCACUGGUCUAGUGACUCCGCGCCGAAAAUGUAACGGGGCUAAGUAUGGUGCCGAAGCUUAGGGCGGGAUUAAAUAAUUUUCCUCGGUGUUACAAAGAGUGUUGUCGCGGUUAUUGGUGCUGAUUAAUCGAUUGGCGCCGGUAGAUACGACAAACACGCCAUCGGGAGUGAGAGGAGCAAUCCAAUCACAAGGCGUUGGCGGGAAGAUUGCGACAGCAAUCUUCGUGACAACGAGGAAAGUUAUAUAAUAAUCCUGCGGUAGGGGAGCGUUCUCAAUGGGACGAAGGGUCGCCGGAAGGCGGCUUGGACUUUUGAGAAGUGAUUAUGCUGACAUAAGUAACGAUAAAACGGGUGAAAAACCCGUUCGCCGUAAACCCGAGGUUUCCUGGGUCAAGGUAAUCUUCCCAGGGUUAGUCGGCCCCUAAGGCGAGGCUGAAGAGCGUAGUCGAUGGGAAACGGAUUAAUAUUUCCGUACUUGCAUAUGUAUGUCCGGAGGGACGCAGAAGGAUAGACCGGCAUCCUGUUGGAUGGGUGUGAAAGGUUGUAGGCUGUAUGGGUUAAUCCCCCAUAUAAGGCCGAGAGCCGAUGCGAGUGGCAACACGAGCGGUUAAUUCCCGGCUGCCUAGAAAAGCUCCAGGUCUUAGCAUAUGCGAACCGUACCGCAAACCAACACAGGUGGGUGGGUGUAAACGCACCAAGGCGCUCGAGAGAACUCUGGUUAAGGAACUCGGCAAAAUAACCCCGUAACUUCGGGAGAAGGGGUGCUUGUCCGUGUGACGAGUAUACAUUCAGAGCAUGGACGAGCCGCAGUAAAAUGGCGGUGGCGACUGUUUACUAAAAACAUAGGUCUCUGCGAAGUCGUAAGACGAAGUAUAGGGACUGACGCCUGCCCGGUGCCGGAAGGUUAAGAGGAGAGGUCAGCGCAAGCGAAGCUUUGAAUCGAAGCCCCGGUAAACGGCGGCCGUAACUAUAACGGUCCUAAGGUAGCGAAAUUCCUUGUCGGGUAAGUUCCGACCUGCACGAAUGGCGUAACGAUCUCCGCACUGUCUCAACCAGAGGCUCGGUGAAAUUGAAUUGGCGGUGAAAAUGCCGUCUACCCGCAGCGUGACGGAAAGACCCUGUGCACCUUUACUAUAGCUUGACAUUGAGUUUUGGGCUGACAUGUGUAGGAUAGGUGGGAGGCUGUGAACUCUGUACGCCAGUAUGGAAGGAGCCAUCCUUGAAAUACCACCCUUGUCAGUCUAAGACUCUAAUCCCGAACCCGUAAUCCGGGCGGGAGACCGUGUCUGGCGGGUAGUUUGACUGGGGCGGUCGCCUCCCAAAAUGUAACGGAGGCACGCAAAGGUUCCCUCAGCCUGAUUGGAAACCAGGCGCCGAGUGCAAACGCAUAAGGGAGCUUGACUGCAAGAGUGACAGCUCGAGCAGGGACGAAAGUCGGUGUUAGUGAUCCGGUGGUUCCGAAUGGAAGGGCCAUCGCUCAUUGGAUAAAAGGUACGCCGGGGAUAACAGGCUGAUCGCAUCCAAGAGUCCAUAUCGACGAUGCGGUUUGGCACCUCGAUGUCGGCUCAUCACAUCCUGGGGCUGAAGCAGGUCCCAAGGGUACGGCUGUUCGCCGUUUAAAGUGGUACGCGAGCUGGGUUUAAAACGUCGUGAGACAGUUUGGUCCCUAUCUGCUGUGGGCGCAGGAUAUUUGAGAGGGCUUGUUCCUAGUACGAGAGGACCGGGAUGAACGAACCACUGGUGGACCUGUUGUCGUGCCAACGGCACAGCAGGAUAGCCACGUUCGGAAGGGAUAACCGCUGAAAGCAUCUAAGCGGGAAGCCUGCCUCAAGAUAAGAUAUCCAUGUAGCAAUACGAGAGUCCCCUUGAAGACCACAAGGUCGAUAGGCCGGGGGUGUAAGCGUGGCGACGCGUUCAGCUUACCGGUACUAACAGGACGAACACUUGAUAUU
Molecule: ribosomal RNA, 3201 nt
Filed under: Desulfovibrio sp. OttesenSCG-928-G11
Lineage: Bacteria; Pseudomonadati; Thermodesulfobacteriota; Desulfovibrionia; Desulfovibrionales; Desulfovibrionaceae
Description: 23S ribosomal RNA
Rfam family: Bacterial large subunit ribosomal RNA
Source: RNAcentral